RNAcentral lists this ribosomal RNA (253 nucleotides) under uncultured bacterium. Its description in RNAcentral is "partial 16S ribosomal RNA". It matches the Rfam family "Bacterial small subunit ribosomal RNA", at positions 524 to 776 of the family's 1533-position model. The record is from RNAcentral.
UACGUAGGGUGCAAGCGUUGUCCGGAAUUAUUGGGCGUAAAGAGCUCGUAGGCGGUUUGUCGCGUCUGCUGUGAAAACUCGGGGCUUAACUCCGGGCCUGCAGUGGGUACGGGCAGACUAGAGUGCGGUAGGGGAGACUGGAAUUCCUGGUGUAGCGGUGAAAUGCGCAGAUAUCAGGAGGAACACCGGUGGCGAAGGCGGGUCUCUGGGCAUCUCCUGACGCUGAGGCGCGAAAGCGUGGGGAGCAAACAGG